RNAcentral lists this ribosomal RNA (1037 nucleotides) under Salmonella enterica subsp. enterica serovar Enteritidis. Its description in RNAcentral is "partial 23S ribosomal RNA". It matches the Rfam family "Bacterial large subunit ribosomal RNA", at positions 140 to 1218 of the family's 2925-position model. The record is from RNAcentral. Lineage: Bacteria; Pseudomonadati; Pseudomonadota; Gammaproteobacteria; Enterobacterales; Enterobacteriaceae.
UCGUCACACUAUCAUUAACUGAAUCCAUAGGUUAAUGAGGCGAACCGGGGGAACUGAAACAUCUAAGUACCCCGAGGAAAAGAAAUCAACCGAGAUUCCCCCAGUAGCGGCGAGCGAACGGGGAGGAGCCCAGAGCCUGAAUCAGCAUGUGUGUUAGUGGAAGCGUCUGGAAAGGCGCGCGAUACAGGGUGACAGCCCCGUACACAAAAGCGCAUGUGCUGUGAGCUCGAUGAGUAGGGCGGGACACGUGGUAUCCUGUCUGAAUAUGGGGGGACCAUCCUCCAAGGCUAAAUACUCCUGACUGACCGAUAGUGAACCAGUACCGUGAGGGAAAGGCGAAAAGAACCCCGGCGAGGGGAGUGAAAAAGAACCUGAAACCGUGUACGUACAAGCAGUGGGAGCACCCUUUGGGUGUGACUGCGUACCUUUUGUAUAAUGGGUCAGCGACUUAUAUUCUGUAGCAAGGUUAACCGAAUAGGGGAGCCGGAGGGAAACCGAGUCUUAACCGGGCGUUAAGUUGCAGGGUAUAGACCCGAAACCCGGUGAUCUAGCCAUGGGCAGGUUGAAGGUUGGGUAACACUAACUGGAGGACCGAACCGACUAAUGUUGAAAAAUUAGCGGAUGACCUGUGGCUGGGGGUGAAAGGCCAAUCAAACCGGGAGAUAGCUGGUUCUCCCCGAAAGCUAUUUAGGUAGCGCCUCGUGAAUUCAUCUCCGGGGGUAGAGCACUGUUUCGGCUAGGGGGCCAUCCCGGCUUACCAACCCGAUGCAAACUGCGAAUACCGGAGAAUGUUAUCACGGGAGACACACGGCGGGUGCUAACGUCCGUCGUGAAGAGGGAAACAACCCAGACCGCCAGCUAAGGUCCCAAAGUCAUGGUUAAGUGGGAAACGAUGUGGGAAGGCCCAGACAGCCAGGAUGUUGGCUUAGAAGCAGCCAUCAUUUAAAGAAAGCGUAAUAGCUCACUGGUCGAGUCGGCCUGCGCGGAAGAUGUAACGGGGCUAAACCAUGCACCGAAGCUGCGGCAGCGACACUGUG